RNAcentral lists this ribosomal RNA (484 nucleotides) under uncultured bacterium. RNAcentral's name for it is "partial 16S ribosomal RNA". It matches the Rfam family "Bacterial small subunit ribosomal RNA", at positions 30 to 507 of the family's 1533-position model. The record is from RNAcentral.
AUUGAACGCUGGCGGCAGGCCUAACACAUGCAAGUCGAGCGGAUGAAGGGAGCUUGCUCCUGGAUUCAGCGGCGGACGGGUGAGUAAUGCCUAGGAAUCUGCCUGGUAGUGGGGGAUAACGUCCGGAAACGGGCGCUAAUACCGCAUGCGCCCUGAGGGAGAAAGUGGGGGAUCUUCGGACCUCACGCUAUCAGAUGAGCCUAGGUCGGAUUAGCUAGUUGGUGGGGUAAAGGCCUACCAAGGCGACGAUCCGUAACUGGUCUGAGAGGAUGAUCAGUCACACUGGAACUGAGACACGGUCCAGACUCCUACGGGAGGCAGCAGUGGGGAAUAUUGGACAAUGGGCGAAAGCCUGAUCCAGCCAUGCCGCGUGUGUGAAGAAGGUCUUCGGAUUGUAAAGCACUUUAAGUUGGGAGGAAGGGCAGUAAGUUAAUACCUUGCUGUUUUGACGUUACCAACAGAAUAAGCACCGGCUAACUUCGUG